AAAAGUUUAUUGAUACAAAAUACAAUCACAGCACAACAUAUGUGCCCAAAUAUCUAAAAAGCCACAAUAGGCAAUUGUCUAUUGUGGCUUUUUAGAUAUUUGGGCACAUAUGUUGUGCUGUGAUUGUAUUUUGUAUCAAUAA
RNAcentral lists this microRNA precursor (142 nucleotides) under Pelobates cultripes (western spadefoot toad). The record is from RNAcentral. Lineage: Eukaryota; Metazoa; Chordata; Amphibia; Anura; Pelobatidae.